GACGAACGCUGGCGGCGUGCUUAACACAUGCAAGUCGUACGGUAAGGCCCUUUCGGGGGUACACGAGUGGCGAACGGGUGAGUAACACGUGAGUAACCUGCCCACAACUUUGGGAUAACGCUAGGAAACUGGUGCUAAUACUGGAUAUGUGCUCCUGCUGCAUGGUGGGGGUUGGAAAGCUCCGGCGGUUGUGGAUGGACUGGCGGCCUAUCAGCUUGUUGGUGGGGUAGUGGCCUACCAAGGCGGCGGCGGGUAGCCGGCCUGUGAGGGUGACCGGCCACAUUGGGACUGAGAUACGGCCCAGGCACCUACGGGAGGCAGCAGUGGGGAAUAUUGCACGAUGGGCGCAAGCCUGAUGCAGAAACGCCGCGGGCGGGAUGACGGCCUUCGGGUUGUAAACCGCUUUCAGCAGGGACGAAGCUUGUUGUGACGGUACCUGCAGAAGAAGCACCGGCUAACUACGUG
RNAcentral lists this ribosomal RNA (465 nucleotides) under uncultured bacterium. Its description in RNAcentral is "partial 16S ribosomal RNA". It matches the Rfam family "Bacterial small subunit ribosomal RNA", at positions 28 to 507 of the family's 1533-position model. The record is from RNAcentral.